Molecule: ribosomal RNA, 539 nt
Filed under: uncultured bacterium
Lineage: Bacteria
Description: partial 16S ribosomal RNA
Rfam family: Bacterial small subunit ribosomal RNA
Source: RNAcentral
UGGGGAAUAUUGCACAAUGGGCGCAAGCCUGAUGCAGCAACGCCGCGUGAGGGACGACGGCCUUCGGGUUGUAAACCUCUUUUAGUAGGGAAGAAGCGAAAGUGACGGUACCUGCAGAAAAAGCACCGGCUAACUACGUGCCGGCAGCCGCGGUAAUACGUAGGGUGCGAGCGUUGUCCGGAAUUAUUGGGCGUAAAGAGCUCGUAGGCGGUCUGUCGCGUCUGCUGUGAAAAUCCCGAGGCUCAACCUCGGGCCUGCAGUGGGUACGGGCAGACUAGAGUGCGGUAGGGGAGAAUGGAAUUCCUGGUGUAGCGGUGGAAUGCGCAGAUAUCAGGAGGAACACCGAUGGCGAAGGCAGUUCUCUGGGCCGUAACUGACGCUGAGGAGCGAAAGCGUGGGGAGCGAACAGGAUUAGAUACCCUGGUAGUCCACGCCGUAAACGUUGGGCGCUAGAUGUGGGGCACCAUUCCACGGUUUCCGUGUCGCAGCUAACGCAUUGAAGCGCCCCGCCUGGGGCAGUACGGCCGCAAGGCUAAAAC